UGAGUAAUGCCUAGGAAUCUGCCUGGUAGUGGGGGAUAACGCUCGGAAACGGACGCUAAUACCGCAUACGUCCUACGGGAGAAAGCAGGGGACCUUCGGGCCUUGCGCUAUCAGAUGAGCCUAGGUCGGAUUAGCUAGUUGGUGAGGUAAUGGCUCACCAAGGCGACGAUCCGUAACUGGUCUGAGAGGAUGAUCAGUCACACUGGAACUGAGACACGGUCCAGACUCCUACGGGAGGCAGCAGUGGGGAAUAUUGGACAAUGGGCGAAAGCCUGAUCCAGCCAUGCCGCGUGUGUGAAGAAGGUCUUCGGAUUGUAAAGCACUUUAAGUUGGGAGGAAGGGCAUUUACCUAAUACGUAAGUGUUUUGACGUUACCGACAGAAUAAGCACCGGCUAACUCUGUGCCAGCAGCCGC
This 415-nucleotide ribosomal RNA is filed under the name uncultured Pseudomonas sp. Its description in RNAcentral is "bacterial SSU rRNA". It matches the Rfam family "Bacterial small subunit ribosomal RNA", at positions 107 to 518 of the family's 1533-position model. The record is from RNAcentral. Lineage: Bacteria; Pseudomonadati; Pseudomonadota; Gammaproteobacteria; Pseudomonadales; Pseudomonadaceae.